CAGCCGCCACGGUAAUACGUAGGUGGCAAGCGUUGUCCGGAAUUAUUGGGCGUAAAGGGUGCGUAGGCGGUUUGAUAAGUCUUGUGUGAAAUCCAUGGGCUCAACCCAUAGUCUGCAUAGGAAACUGUCGGGCUUGAGAGUGGGAGAGGUGAGUGGAAUUUCCGGUGUAGCGGUGAAAUGCGUAGAUAUCGGGAGGAACACCUGUGGCGAAAGCGGCUCACUGGACCAUUUCUGACGCUGAUGCACGAAAGCUAGGGGAGCAAACAGGAUUAGAUACCCCCGUAGUCCCUGUCUCUUAUAU
RNAcentral lists this ribosomal RNA (301 nucleotides) under uncultured bacterium. RNAcentral's name for it is "partial 16S ribosomal RNA". It matches the Rfam family "Bacterial small subunit ribosomal RNA", at positions 509 to 809 of the family's 1533-position model. The record is from RNAcentral.